AAUGCACGACACAAUGACGCGGGGUCUACGCCCCAGAGGGCAUCUUCCUUCCUGGGAUUCGGCAUCCCUGGCCUCCUGGUCGUCGUCCGUCGGCUCCGUGGGAAGAAACAGACUGAGAAUUAGCCGACCGUCGACGUGGGACAGCGUGAGAGGCCCGUCUCCGAUCUGGGAUAGCGUUAGCACGGACGGGAGUUUCGUAAAAACUCGAUCGGAGGAGAUGAUAAGCCGAGAAGAUUCACCGAAAUGGAAUACCUUGGAGCGCGGAAGUUGCUUGGGUGGUUUUCAAGGCGUUACAAAUUUCGUUGAACAAGCUCGUUUACCGAGUUGGGAAAGCUUGGAGGCGACUCUGGAC
Molecule: unclassified non-coding RNA, 352 nt
Filed under: Athalia rosae (coleseed sawfly)
Lineage: Eukaryota; Metazoa; Arthropoda; Insecta; Hymenoptera; Athaliidae
Description: misc RNA ENSAEAG00005011059.1
Source: RNAcentral